This 181-nucleotide ribosomal RNA is filed under the name Helicobacter sp. MIT 00-7814. Its description in RNAcentral is "partial 16S ribosomal RNA". It matches the Rfam family "Bacterial small subunit ribosomal RNA", at positions 1 to 175 of the family's 1533-position model. Lineage: Bacteria; Pseudomonadati; Campylobacterota; Epsilonproteobacteria; Campylobacterales; Helicobacteraceae. The record is from RNAcentral.
UUUUAUGGAGAGUUUGAUCCUGGCUCAGAGUGAACGCUGGCGGCGUGCCUAAUACAUGCAAGUCGAACGAUGAAGCUUCUAGCUUGCUAGAAGUGGAUUAGUGGCGCACGGGUGAGUAAUGCAUAGAUAACAUGCCUCAUAGUCUGGGAUAGCCACUGGAAACGGUGAUUAAUACUGGAUA